UGAUAUAUUUGCUGUAAUCGAGCGUAGC
RNAcentral lists this small RNA (28 nucleotides) under Bombyx mori (domestic silkworm). RNAcentral describes it as "ovarian small RNA-32518". The record is from RNAcentral. Lineage: Eukaryota; Metazoa; Arthropoda; Insecta; Lepidoptera; Bombycidae.